AUGAACGCUGGCGGCGUGCCUAAUACAUGCCAGUCGAGCGAACAGACGAGGAGCUUGCUCCUCUGACGUUAGCGGCGGACGGGUGAGUAACACGUGGAUAACCUACCUAUAAGACUGGGAUAACUUCGGGAAACCGGAGCUAAUACCGGAUAAUAUAUUGAACCGCAUGGUUCAAUAGUGAAAGACGGUUUUGCUGUCACUUAUAGAUGGAUCCGCGCCGCAUUAGCUAGUUGGUAAGGUAACGGCUUACCAAGGCAACGAUGCGUAGCCGACCUGAGAGGGUGAUCGGCCACACUGGAACUGAGACACGGUCCAGACUCCUACGGGAGGCAGCAGUAGGGAAUCUUCCGCAAUGGGCGAAAGCCUGACGGAGCAACGCCGCGUGAGUGAUGAAGGUCUUCGGAUCGUAAAACUCUGUUAUUAGGGAAGAACAAAUGUGUAAGUAACUAUGCACGUCUUGACGGUACCUAAUCAGAAAGCCGCGGCUAACUACGUG
RNAcentral lists this ribosomal RNA (496 nucleotides) under uncultured bacterium. RNAcentral's name for it is "partial 16S ribosomal RNA". It matches the Rfam family "Bacterial small subunit ribosomal RNA", at positions 29 to 507 of the family's 1533-position model. The record is from RNAcentral.